AUUAAGAUGUCUGAUUUAAGUAGUAAACUGUAAAUUUACUUAAGGGUUGAAAUUUCCCUCUUAAUA
Molecule: transfer RNA, 66 nt
Filed under: Empoascanara angkhangica
Lineage: Eukaryota; Metazoa; Arthropoda; Insecta; Hemiptera; Cicadellidae
Description: tRNA-Tyr
Source: RNAcentral